This 200-nucleotide long non-coding RNA is filed under the name Prunus persica (peach). RNAcentral describes it as "long non-coding RNA (PPER_LNC007771)". Lineage: Eukaryota; Viridiplantae; Streptophyta; Magnoliopsida; Rosales; Rosaceae. The record is from RNAcentral.
GCUGACUGAUCACGAUAUCUAGAAUGGAAGCCUUUAACCCCAUAGUGAAAAGUUGACACUUCUUGAUUUCAUCCUCCACCAGUGGAAGACAAUACUUAGACAACUCAUUGAGCUUUUUCUCGUACUCUAAUACUGUCAUUAUCCCCUGUUCCAGCUAUAAAAACUCUUCCAUCUUCACAUUCUGGUAGGCUUGUGGAUAG